GCCAUGGUGGUCUAGUGGUUAAGGUACUCGGCUGCUGACCCGGAAGUCGCGGGUUCAAAUCCCGCCCGUGGCG
Non-coding RNA from Rhipicephalus microplus (southern cattle tick), 73 nucleotides. The record is from the annotation of a RefSeq genome assembly. Lineage: Eukaryota; Metazoa; Arthropoda; Arachnida; Ixodida; Ixodidae.